RNAcentral lists this long non-coding RNA (1049 nucleotides) under Rattus norvegicus (Norway rat). Its description in RNAcentral is "long non-coding RNA NONRATT015859". Lineage: Eukaryota; Metazoa; Chordata; Mammalia; Rodentia; Muridae. The record is from RNAcentral.
UUUCCCACUUCAAGACGAUGACAGAGACGAGCGUGCAUCCAAGACCCGCAGAGUGGAGCCGGGAGAGGCAGCCAAGAAGAAGAAGUAGAGACGGUGGCUCCUGGGAUGUGCCGUUGGGCGGAGUGUUUGCUCUUGUGCGUUACUAUGACAGACAUCUCCAUGAACGUUUUAUGUUGAUGAACUAACGAGUAUCGUCUCAAGACUUUCCACUGUAGAAUUCACUUUUUUAUUUAAAACCUGUAUGUAUUUACAACUCUAAUGGUGACCUGUGAUUGUGAACUGACAGUACUUGGAAGCAUUCUGGCUAUCACAAAAUUGGUGACAGGCUUUGAGAGUUUGUCACAUGGACAUGCCAAUGUUCUAUGAACCUUUUAUAAAGGAUUAUAUUUUUAAAGUAAAUAUAUUGUAUUGUACUGUGAACUUGUGGGUGCUUUUCAUUAGUGUCUGUACAGUGUAAAUAGAUGAUCAUGGAAAUAAAAUUACUUAACUCAGCAUUGCUAUUAACUGAAUGCCACUAACCAGUAUUUGUGACAAGCGACCUGCUUGCCCUGUGACAUUUUAAUUCACAGUGGUGAUUGGCUGUAGGGAGAGCCUCCCAUGUUCAGGUGCCUUGUGCAUUCUUCUCUCCAACCAUCCUGUAAAGAAAGUAGACAUUCGAGUCCUCAGUCUUGUGAUGAGAGCUUGAGGAGCUGGGCAGAGGGAUACGCAGCAGUGAGUGAAGACUAGCAGUCCCUCUGGCCGGACCCCAGAAUCGGACCAAACACCUGUCCACUCAUCAGACUUCAAUCAUUUUCCAGGAACGUCGUCUCUCCCGUGUGCACUUCUGUAGGGGAGGUCUCCUCAUACCCUGAUUAUGCGGCUGCACUUGUUGUAUCUGCCUUACAAUGUGCUUAGUCACUUCUUCCUUAAAUAUACGGGAGGCAGACCAGGCUCUUCUAUGAAAGAUGACCAGAAUCAGCAAAGAGCAUAAGGCAUCCAGUUAGGUUUGAGUCUGUGUGAGUAUAUGUGAUAUAAGAGACACAUUAAAAACCAUUUCAAUUCCAAUUUAA